RNAcentral lists this ribosomal RNA (253 nucleotides) under uncultured bacterium. Its description in RNAcentral is "partial 16S ribosomal RNA". It matches the Rfam family "Bacterial small subunit ribosomal RNA", at positions 524 to 776 of the family's 1533-position model. The record is from RNAcentral.
AACGUAGGAGGCGAGCGUUAUCCGGAGUUACUGGGCGUAAAGCGCGUGCAGGCGGUCUUGCGCGUCUGAUGUGAAAGCUCCCGGCUAAACUGGGAGAGGGCGUCGGAUACGGCAGGACUAGAGGCCAGUAGAGGGGUAUGGAAUUCCGGGUGUAGUGGUGAAAUGCGUAGAGAUCGGCAGGAACACCCAAGGGGAAGCCAGCCGACUGGCCCGCACCUGACACUCAGGGACGACAGCGUGGGGAGCGAACCGG